GUUUGACUGUAAAAUGACUGAUAUGUUUGUUAAAACAAAAUUAAAACGAGAAGCCCAAAACAGAAGUCGCAAAUAAAAUAUGGUCGGAAUUGCGUUACUUGCAGGAUGAGGAUUCCAGUGAAUCCGAGCUGGACCUGGAGGCAUCUCAUGAUACGUCCUCUGAAGCGGGACCUCUUGGGAGUAACAGUAACUCUGAUGAUGACCAAAAGACUGAUUUUUUUCUAUACACACAAUCUAAGACUGCCUGGCGGGUGCCAAUGGUACUUGAAAGAACAAUACAAAAAUUUGUUUACUUUCCUAAAAAUAAGAACGCUCAAUCAACAAACCGUUUAUUUGUGACGGGAUCCAUUCAAAAGAUCGUCAUUUUCUACAACGAUGAGAAAUCCGCAACCAUA
Long non-coding RNA from Drosophila miranda, 395 nucleotides. RefSeq lists it as uncharacterized. NCBI's taxonomy places the organism in Eukaryota, Metazoa, Arthropoda, Insecta, Diptera, Drosophilidae. The transcript is spliced from 3 exons. The record is from RefSeq and is a predicted model, not a curated record.